AUACGGAGGAUGCGAGCGUUAUCCGGAUUUAUUGGGUUUAAAGGGUGCGUAGGCUGUGCGUUAAGUCAGGGGUGAAAUGCCGUCGCUCAACGACGGAGCUGCCCUUGAUACUGGCGUGCUGGAGUACGGAUGCCGUUGGAGGAAUGAGUGGUGUAGCGGUGAAAUGCUUGGAUAUCACUCAGAACACCGAUUGCGAAGGCAUCUGACGAAUCCGUCACUGACGCUGAGGCACGAAAGCGUGGGGAUAGAACAGGAUUAGAUACCCUGGUAUUCCACGCCGUAAACGAUGAUGACUAACCGUCGGCGAUAGACAGCCGGUGGCCAAGCGAAAGCGAUAAGCCAUCCACCUGGGGAGUACGUCGGCAACGAUGAAACUCAAAUGAAUUGGCGGGG
Molecule: ribosomal RNA, 393 nt
Filed under: uncultured bacterium
Lineage: Bacteria
Description: partial 16S ribosomal RNA
Rfam family: Bacterial small subunit ribosomal RNA
Source: RNAcentral